Molecule: ribosomal RNA, 377 nt
Filed under: Microbacterium sp. 3CBL
Lineage: Bacteria; Bacillati; Actinomycetota; Actinomycetes; Micrococcales; Microbacteriaceae
Description: bacterial SSU rRNA
Rfam family: Bacterial small subunit ribosomal RNA
Source: RNAcentral
UGAUGCAGCACGCCGCGUGAGGGAUGACGGCCUUCGGGUUGUAAACCUCUUUUAGCAGGGAAGAAGCGAGAGUGACGGUACCUGCAGAAAAAGCACCGGCUAACUACGUGCCAGCAGCCGCGGUAAUACGUAGGGUGCAAGCGUUAUCCGGAAUUAUUGGGCGUAAAGAGCUCGUAGGCGGUUUGUCGCGUCUGCCGUGAAAUCCUCAGGCUCAACCUGAGGCUUGCGGUGGGUACGGGCAGACUUGAGUGCGGUAGGGGAGAUUGGAAUUCCUGGUGUAGCGGUGGAAUGCGCAGAUAUCAGGAGGAACACCGAUGGCGAAGGCAGAUCUCUGGGCCGUAACUGACGCUGAGGAGCGAAAGGGUGGGGAGCAAACA